AUACGUAGGGGGCGAGCGUUGUCCGGAAUUACUGGGUGUAAAGGGCGUGUAGGCGGGGAUGCAAGUUACCGGUAAAAACCCCAGGCUUAACUUGGGGCCUGCCGAUAAAACUGCAUUUCUUGAGUGCAGGAGAGGGAAGUGGAAUUCCCGGAGUAGCGGUGAAAUGCGUAGAUACCGGGAGGAACACCAGUGGCGAAGGCGGCUUCCUGGCCUGUAACUGACGCUGAGGCGCGAAAGCUGGGGGAGCGAACGGGAUUAGAUACCCCGGUAGUCCCAGCCGUAAACGAUGGUCACUAGGUGUGGGGUGUGGUCAAGCAUUCCGUGCCGGAGCUAACGCAAUAAGUGACCCACCUGGGGAGUACGGCCGCAAGGUUGAA
This 377-nucleotide ribosomal RNA is filed under the name uncultured bacterium. RNAcentral's name for it is "bacterial SSU rRNA". It matches the Rfam family "Bacterial small subunit ribosomal RNA", at positions 523 to 898 of the family's 1533-position model. The record is from RNAcentral.